GGUUAAGCGACUAAGCGUACACGGUGGAUGCCCUGGCAGUCAGAGGCGAUGAAGGACGUGCUAAUCUGCGAUAAGCGUCGGUAAGGUGAUAUGAACCGUUAUAACCGGCGAUUUCCGAAUGGGGAAACCCAGUGUGAUUCGUCACACUAUCAUUAACUGAAUCCAUAGGUUAAUGAGGCGAACCGGGGGAACUGAAACAUCUAAGUACCCCGAGGAAAAGAAAUCAACCGAGAUUCCCCCAGUAGCGGCGAGCGAACGGGGAGCAGCCCAGAGCCUGAAUCAGUGUGUGUGUUAGUGGAAGCGUCUGGAAAGGCGCGCGAUACAGGGUGACAGCCCCGUACACAAAAAUGCACAUACUGUGAGCUCGAUGAGUAGGGCGGGACACGUGGUAUCCUGUCUGAAUAUGGGGGGACCAUCCUCCAAGGCUAAAUACUCCUGACUGACCGAUAGUGAACCAGUACCGUGAGGGAAAGGCGAAAAGAACCCCGGCGAGGGGAGUGAAAAAGAACCUGAAACCGUGUACGUACAAGCAGUGGGAGCACAGAGCAAUCUGUGUGACUGCGUACCUUUUGUAUAAUGGGUCAGCGACUUAUAUUCUGUAGCAAGGUUAACCGAAUAGGGGAGCCGAAGGGAAACCGAGUCUUAACUGGGCGUUAAGUUGCAGGGUAUAGACCCGAAACCCGGUGAUCUAGCCAUGGGCAGGUUGAAGGUUGGGUAACACUAACUGGAGGACCGAACCGACUAAUGUUGAAAAAUUAGCGGAUGACUUGUGGCUGGGGGUGAAAGGCCAAUCAAACCGGGAGAUAGCUGGUUCUCCCCGAAAGCUAUUUAGGUAGCGCCUCGUGAAUUCAUCUCCGGGGGUAGAGCACUGUUUCGGCAAGGGGGUCAUCCCGACUUACCAACCCGAUGCAAACUGCGAAUACCGGAGAAUGUUAUCACGGGAGACACACGGCGGGUGCUAACGUCCGUCGUGAAGAGGGAAACAACCCAGACCGCCAGCUAAGGUCCCAAAGUCAUGGUUAAGUGGGAAACGAUGUGGGAAGGCCCAGACAGCCAGGAUGUUGGCUUAGAAGCAGCCAUCAUUUAAAGAAAGCGUAAUAGCUCACUGGUCGAGUCGGCCUGCGCGGAAGAUGUAACGGGGCUAAACCAUGCACCGAAGCUGCGGCAGCGACGCUGAUGCGUUGUUGGGUAGGGGAGCGUUCUGUAAGCCUGUGAAGGUGUGCUGUGAGGCAUGCUGGAGGUAUCAGAAGUGCGAAUGCUGACAUAAGUAACGAUAAAGCGGGUGAAAAGCCCGCUCGCCGGAAGACCAAGGGUUCCUGUCCAACGUUAAUCGGGGCAGGGUGAGUCGACCCCUAAGGCGAGGCCGAAAGGCGUAGUCGAUGGGAAACAGGUUAAUAUUCCUGUACUUGGUGUUACUGCGAAGGGGGGACGGAGAAGGCUAUGUUGGCCGGGCGACGGUUGUCCCGGUUUAAGCGUGUAGGCUGGUUUUCCAGGCAAAUCCGGAAAAUCAAGGCUGAGGCGUGAUGACGAGGCACUACGGUGCUGAAGCAACAAAUGCCCUGCUUCCAGGAAAAGCCUCUAAGCAUCAGGUAACAUCAAAUCGUACCCCAAACCGACACAGGUGGUCAGGUAGAGAAUACCAAGGCGCUUGAGAGAACUCGGGUGAAGGAACUAGGCAAAAUGGUGCCGUAACUUCGGGAGAAGGCACGCUGAUAUGUAGGUGAAGUCCCUCGCGGAUGGAGCUGAAAUCAGUCGAAGAUACCAGCUGGCUGCAACUGUUUAUUAAAAACACAGCACUGUGCAAACACGAAAGUGGACGUAUACGGUGUGACGCCUGCCCGGUGCCGGAAGGUUAAUUGAUGGGGUCAGCGCAAGCGAAGCUCUUGAUCGAAGCCCCGGUAAACGGCGGCCGUAACUAUAACGGUCCUAAGGUAGCGAAAUUCCUUGUCGGGUAAGUUCCGACCUGCACGAAUGGCGUAAUGAUGGCCAGGCUGUCUCCACCCGAGACUCAGUGAAAUUGAACUCGCUGUGAAGAUGCAGUGUACCCGCGGCAAGACGGAAAGACCCCGUGAACCUUUACUAUAGCUUGACACUGAACAUUGAGCCUUGAUGUGUAGGAUAGGUGGGAGGCUUUGAAGUGUGGACGCCAGUCUGCAUGGAGCCGACCUUGAAAUACCACCCUUUAAUGUUUGAUGUUCUAACGUUGACCCGUAAUCCGGGUUGCGGACAGUGUCUGGUGGGUAGUUUGACUGGGGCGGUCUCCUCCUAAAGAGUAACGGAGGAGCACGAAGGUUGGCUAAUCCUGGUCGGACAUCAGGAGGUUAGUGCAAUGGCAUAAGCCAGCUUGACUGCGAGCGUGACGGCGCGAGCAGGUGCGAAAGCAGGUCAUAGUGAUCCGGUGGUUCUGAAUGGAAGGGCCAUCGCUCAACGGAUAAAAGGUACUCCGGGGAUAACAGGCUGAUACCGCCCAAGAGUUCAUAUCGACGGCGGUGUUUGGCACCUCGAUGUCGGCUCAUCACAUCCUGGGGCUGAAGUAGGUCCCAAGGGUAUGGCUGUUCGCCAUUUAAAGUGGUACGCGAGCUGGGUUUAGAACGUCGUGAGACAGUUCGGUCCCUAUCUGCCGUGGGCGCUGGAGAACUGAGGGGGGCUGCUCCUAGUACGAGAGGACCGGAGUGGACGCAUCACUGGUGUUCGGGUUGUCAUGCCAAUGGCACUGCCCGGUAGCUAAAUGCGGAAGAGAUAAGUGCUGAAAGCAUCUAAGCACGAAACUUGCCCCGAGAUGAGUUCUCCCUGACUCCUUGAGAGUCCUGAAGGAACGUUGAAGACGACGACGUUGAUAGGCCGGGUGUGUAAGCGCAGCGAUGCGUUGAGCUAACCGGUACUAAUGAACCGUGAGGCUUAACCUU
RNAcentral lists this ribosomal RNA (2906 nucleotides) under Escherichia coli. RNAcentral describes it as "23S ribosomal RNA". It matches the Rfam family "Bacterial large subunit ribosomal RNA". The record is from RNAcentral. Lineage: Bacteria; Pseudomonadati; Pseudomonadota; Gammaproteobacteria; Enterobacterales; Enterobacteriaceae. RNAcentral also lists the same sequence under 2 other names.